CAGCAGCCGCGGGAAUACGGAGGGAGCUAGCGUUGUUCGGAAUCACUGGGCGUAAAGCGCACGUAGGCGGCUAUUCAAGUCAGGGGUGAAAGCCCGGGGCUCAACCCCGGAACUGCCUUUGAAACUAGAUAGCUUGAAUCUUGGAGAGGCGAGUGGAAUUCCGAGUGUAGAGGUGAAAUUCGUAGAUAUUCGGAAGAACACCAGUGGCGAAGGCUGCUUACUGGCUCAUUCUAGACGCUGAGGUGCGAAAGCGUGGGGAGCAAACAGGAUUAGAGACCCGUGUAGUCCCUGUCUCUUAUAC
RNAcentral lists this ribosomal RNA (301 nucleotides) under uncultured bacterium. RNAcentral's name for it is "partial 16S ribosomal RNA". It matches the Rfam family "Bacterial small subunit ribosomal RNA", at positions 509 to 807 of the family's 1533-position model. The record is from RNAcentral.